Molecule: ribosomal RNA, 280 nt
Filed under: Aetana baganihan
Lineage: Eukaryota; Metazoa; Arthropoda; Arachnida; Araneae; Pholcidae
Description: partial 12S ribosomal RNA
Source: RNAcentral
AAAUAAAACUAUUAUGUCUAUGGCGGUCUCAUUUAAUUAGAGAAACUCGCUUAAUAAUCGUCAUUACCCGAUAAAUUUCACUUAAGUCAACAUAAUCCAUAUACCGCCGUUAACAGUAUUAUUUAACAACUAUAAUAUAAAAUAUAAAAUAACAUAAAAAAUCAGGUCAAGGUGUGAUAAUACUUAAGAUAAAGUAAGUUACAUUAAAAAUAAUUUAAGGAACAAAUCUCAAACAGAUAAGAAGAAAAAGAAUUUAUUCGUACAUAGAUUAAUUAAAAUU